UGGGGAAUUUUCCGCAAUGGGGGCAACCCUGACGGAGCAAUACCGCGUGAGGGAGGAAGGCCUUCGGGUUGUAAACUGCUUUUCGGCGGGACGAUGAUGACGGUACCGCCGGAAGAAGCCCCGGCUAACUCCGUGCCAGCAGCCGCGGUAAGACGGAGGGGGCAAGCGUUGUCCGGACUCACUGGGCGUAAAGGGCGCGCAGGCGGGACGGCGCGUCGGCGCUGAAAGCGCCCGGCUUAACCGGGCGCGGCGCGGCGAUACGACCGACCUGGAGGCAGGCAGAGGGUGGCGGAAUUCCGGGUGUAGUGGUGAAAUGCGUAGAGAUCCGGAGGAACGCCUGUGGCGCAAGCGGCCGCCUGGGCCUGACCUGACGCUGAGGCGCGAAAGCGUGGGGAGCGAACCGGAUUAGAUACCCGUGUAGUCC
RNAcentral lists this ribosomal RNA (424 nucleotides) under uncultured prokaryote. RNAcentral's name for it is "bacterial SSU rRNA". It matches the Rfam family "Bacterial small subunit ribosomal RNA", at positions 355 to 796 of the family's 1533-position model. The record is from RNAcentral.